GGGCGCGUAGCUCAGGGGUAGAGCAUCUGCCUUUUAAGCAGAGGGUAGAUGGUUCGAAUCCAUCCGCGCUCACCA
RNAcentral lists this transfer RNA (75 nucleotides) under Bacteroidia bacterium. RNAcentral's name for it is "tRNA-Lys". It matches the Rfam family "tRNA". Rfam says of the family: Transfer RNA (tRNA) molecules are approximately 80 nucleotides in length. Lineage: Bacteria; Pseudomonadati; Bacteroidota; Bacteroidia. The record is from RNAcentral.